Molecule: unclassified non-coding RNA, 226 nt
Filed under: uncultured fungus
Lineage: Eukaryota; Fungi
Description: sequence contains ITS1, 5.8S rRNA gene
Rfam family: 5.8S ribosomal RNA (bases 178-226)
Source: RNAcentral
UUUCCGUAGGUGAACCUGCGGAAGGAUCAUUACCGAGAAGGCCUCCGGGCCGCGUCUCCUCCCUUCUUACCGACCGUGUUGCUUCGGCGGGCCGCGUCCGCGCCGGUGCCCCGCACCGUGUGCCCGCCGGAGACCAUUUCAAAUCCACAUGGCGUCCGAGUCACAUUGAAUAAAGAAAACCCUCAACAACGGAUCUCUUGGUUCUGGCAUCGAUGAAGAACGCAGC